RNAcentral lists this ribosomal RNA (406 nucleotides) under uncultured bacterium. RNAcentral describes it as "partial 16S ribosomal RNA". It matches the Rfam family "Bacterial small subunit ribosomal RNA", at positions 30 to 526 of the family's 1533-position model. The record is from RNAcentral.
AUUGAACGCUGGCGGCAGGCCUAACACAUGCAAGUCGAACGAGUGCCGGACGCGUGAGAAUUGUCUGUGAAACUGUCCGAUGUGGGGGGAUAACUCCAGUACACGCUAGCUAAUAUCGCAUACGACCGGAUGUGCGCAGAUGGGGUUAGCUGGUAGGUGAGGUAACGGCUCACCUAGGCGACGCUCCCUAGCUGGUCUGAGAGGAUGUCCAGCCACACUGGAACUGAGACACGGUCCAGACUCCUACGGGAGGCAGCAGUGGGGAAUAUUGCACAAUGGGCGAAAGCCUGAUGCAGCCAUGCCGCGUGUGUGAAGAAGGCCUUCGGGUUGUAAAGUACUUUCAGCGGGGAGGCGUUACCCGCAGAAGAAGCACCGGCUAACUCCGUGCCAGCAGCCGCGGUAAUAC